AGAGUUUGAUUAUGGCUCAGAUUGAACGCUGGCGGCAUGCUUUACACAUGCAAGUCGAACGGCAGCACGGACUUCGGUCUGGUGGCGAGUGGCGAACGGGUGAGUAAUACAUCGGAACGUGCCCAGUUGUGGGGGAUAACUACUCGAAAGAGUAGCUAAUACCGCAUGAGAACUGAGGUUGAAAGCAGGGGAUCGCAAGACCUUGCGCAACUGGAGCGGCCGAUGGCAGAUUAGGUAGUUGGUGGGAUAAAAGCUUACCAAGCCGACGAUCUGUAGCUGGUCUGAGAGGACGACCAGCCACACUGGGACUGAGACACGGCCCAGACUCCUACGGGAGGCAGCAGUGGGGAAUUUUGGACAAUGGGCGAAAGCCUGAUCCAGCAAUGCCGCGUGCAGGAUGAAGGCCUUCGGGUUGUAAACUGCUUUUGUACGGAACGAAAAGCUUCGGGUUAAUACCCUGGAGUCAUGACGGUACCGUAAGAAUAAGCACCGGCUAACUACGUGUCAGCCGCCGCGGUAA
Molecule: ribosomal RNA, 520 nt
Filed under: uncultured Comamonas sp.
Lineage: Bacteria; Pseudomonadati; Pseudomonadota; Betaproteobacteria; Burkholderiales; Comamonadaceae
Description: bacterial SSU rRNA
Rfam family: Bacterial small subunit ribosomal RNA
Source: RNAcentral